UACAGAGGGUGCGAGCGUUAAUCGGAAUUACUGGGCGUAAAGGGCGCGUAGGCGGAUAUGCAAGUGAGAUGUGAAAUACCCGGGCUUAACCUGGGAACUGCAUCUUAAACUGCAUGUCUAGAGUAUUGUAGAGGACAGUGGAAUUUCCGGUGUAGCGGUGAAAUGCGUAGAGAUCGGAAGGAACAUCAGUGGCGAAGGCGACUGUCUGGACAAAUACUGACGCUGAGGCGCGAAAGCGUGGGGAGCAAACAGG
RNAcentral lists this ribosomal RNA (253 nucleotides) under uncultured bacterium. Its description in RNAcentral is "partial 16S ribosomal RNA". It matches the Rfam family "Bacterial small subunit ribosomal RNA", at positions 524 to 776 of the family's 1533-position model. The record is from RNAcentral.